Diospyros lotus (date-plum) is the source of this 1863-nucleotide long non-coding RNA. RefSeq lists it as uncharacterized. The transcript is spliced from 2 exons. The record is from RefSeq and is a predicted model, not a curated record. Lineage: Eukaryota; Viridiplantae; Streptophyta; Magnoliopsida; Ericales; Ebenaceae.
GCGAUUUUAAGGCCGAUUUCGGCCAAAUUCGAAGCAGAAUCUGAGGAAAAAAAAAGAGGAAGAAGAAGAAGCAGCGCGUAGGGCUAUUUUUGUGGGAGAAAUCUCAGAUUAAAAGAAGUUUAAUCGCAGUUUAAUUAUUCUGCGUGUAUUAAUCUGGUGAUGUUUAAGCGUGAAAACGCUGUAAUCAGCUGAAUGAGGCAAGUUCUCCUCUACCCUUGCGAUCUAUUUCCAUUUGGUGAAUCUCUUGUCUUCCCUUAAUUCGGUUUGGUUUUGCGUAUUAAUUAUACGAAUUAGGGAUGUUUUGGGCAUGAUUUAAUUUAAAAGAAAUAUGAGAUUUAUUGGGAUUUUAUUUACGAGGUGUCUAUGUGGAAUUUAGAUGGCUAAAUUAAUUAUAUUAUACGAUUAGAUUUAAUUAAUGUGAGUCUCGGGUUUUAUUAAUCGCUAUUAAACGUUAUUAAACGUUUUACUUCGUAGCGGGAGUGCAAGAAAUGCAAGAAACGGCUAUGUAAAGGCAAGCUCAUAACCCUCUUCUCAUGUUCUUUAAUUCCCGUGAAAGACCCCGUGAUUUCCUGUAUUUUAUCACCUCCCUUGCUUUAAUGCGGCACAUUGCCUUAUUGGUUGAACUAUUAUUCAUUUGUUUCAAUUUAAAUUAAAUCUGAGACUUCUAUAAUUUUAUUCGUUGUGAGCCUAAGGGGGUUUGUACCGCCCCCAUUCCUUUCGGAAUGAUGCCGGACCCAGCUUGGGAACUAGAUUCCUAGACGGGCGAGUUUAUUUAUAAUUUUAUCGGGCUUAUUUACAGUUUUCCCGGAUUUAUUUAUAGUUCGGUUAGAGCUAUCGAGCAGUAGGGCAGGGGUCGGUUGUUGGUGACGCUGGGAUAGACUAUUAUACGGCCCUGAUGUGGACCGUCGGGUGGACACCCCUAGUCACUGGCCGUUGACCAGUGCCGGGCACUGCUGACUAGCUCUGCCGAUAUGUGAUUUACUGCAUGAUUAGAUACAUUGUAUUACUGUUCAUGAUUUGAUAUGCACAUGGGUACGGGAUGCAUGUUGGGAUAUUCAUUUAUUGAGUAUGCUUGGACACGGACAUUCUAGUUUGGUUAGGUUGCAUCCACCGCGAGCAUAUGCAUGGCGUGUGGUUUACUAUGUGGGCGGAGCAUGGCCUGAUGCCUGGAUGUAUGGGCGCCUUGUAUCACGUUGAUGCUCACUACGCCAUUGCAUUUUUAUGUGCAUUGCAUGGCUACUGGUAGUUAUUAGUUCUCGGACGGGAGUACCGUUCCGAGGGAGCCUAUGGCUCGGUUGUCGGGAGUACUGACGGAUACAGGUGACGGGAGUACCGGCCUGGGACAGCGCGCGCAGGUUUGUGGAGACAUUUGUUGCCUUUCAGGGCAGCGGCAUGUUGGUAUGGGACUUGGGUGCCAAGUGUCUUAUGUGGGCCCCAAAGACCGGUAUGUGCUUUUAUUUUGUUAUACUAUUGAGCUGUUGUGUUGUAGCGUCUCAUGGCUUGUGUGUACCUGGGAUUUAUUCUGGGGUGAGAUUUCUGGUUUUGUGUAGCCUUCAGCCUUUUCUUCCUUAUGCUUGCUGAGCCUCUCGACUCACCUUGCUUUCCAUCAUUCCAGGUAGUGGCGGCGUGGGCCAUAGCAAGGGAGUCAACUUUAACGGCAGAGUCGGUGUGGUGUACAGGCAGUCUCGUCAAUCCCUAUCCACUCUGAUGUCUAAGUAGAAUUUACUCUAUUAUUUCGUACUGUGCUAGGUGUUUUCUCGAGUCUUGUGUAUGUCGGCACAGGAGUUUGUGUCUAUUUAUUUAUCUUGUGACCGUUGUGUUAGCGGGGUACCCAUAGUGCAUGCAUGUCCUGAGCUUUGCUUC